RNAcentral lists this ribosomal RNA (446 nucleotides) under uncultured bacterium. RNAcentral's name for it is "bacterial SSU rRNA". It matches the Rfam family "Bacterial small subunit ribosomal RNA", at positions 329 to 791 of the family's 1533-position model. The record is from RNAcentral.
GACCAGACUCCUACGGGAGGCAGCAGUGGGGGAUAUUGCACAAUGGGGGGAACCCUGAUGCAGCGACGCCGCGUGGGUGAAGGAGUAUUUCGGUAUGUAAAGCCCUAUCGGCAGGGAAGAAGCAAGACGGUACCUGACUAAGAAGCCCCGGCUAACUACGUGCCAGCAGCCGCGGUAAUACGUAGGGGGCGAGCGUUAUCCGGAUUCACUGGGUGUAAAGGGAGCGUAGACGGCCAAGCAAGCCAGGGGUGAAAGCCCGGGGCCCAACCCCGGGGCUGCCGUUGAAACCGGAGCGCUAGAAUUCCGAUGCCGUCGGAGGAAUGUGUGGUGUAGCGGUGAAAUGCAUAGGUAUCACACAGAACACCGAUUGCGAAGGCAUCUGACGAAUCGGAGAUUGACGCUGAUGCACGAAAGCGUGGGUAUCGAACAGGAUUAGAACCCCCGUA